This 468-nucleotide ribosomal RNA is filed under the name uncultured bacterium. RNAcentral describes it as "partial 16S ribosomal RNA". It matches the Rfam family "Bacterial small subunit ribosomal RNA", at positions 28 to 507 of the family's 1533-position model. The record is from RNAcentral.
GACGAACGCUGGCGGCGUGCUUAACACAUGCAAGUCGAACGGAAAGGCCCUGCUUUUGUGGGGUGCUCGAGUGGCGAACGGGUGAGUAACACGUGAGUAACCUGCCCUUGACUUUGGGAUAACUUAAGGAAACUGGGGCUAAUACCGGAUAGGAGCUCCUGCUGCAUGGUGGGGGUUGGAAAGUUUCGGCGGUUGGGGAUGGACUCGCGGCUUAUCAGCUUGUUGGUGGGGUAGUGGCUUACCAAGGCUUUGACGGGUAGCCGGCCUGAGAGGGUGACCGGCCACAUUGGGACUGAGAUACGGCCCAGACUCCUACGGGAGGCAGCAGUGGGGAAUAUUGCACAAUGGGCGGAAGCCUGAGGCAGCAACGCCGCGUGCGGGAUGACGGCCUUCGGGUUGUAAACCGCUUUCGCCUGUGACGAAGCGUGAGUGACGGUAAUGGGUAAAGAAGCACCGGCUAACUACGUG